AAAUCUCAUUCUCUCUCUCUCUAUAUAUAUAUACAUAUACGUACACUCACACGCGUGCAUAUAUAUAUUUCCCCACCUCCGCUAAACUACUUUAGAAGUUACAUAUGUGCUGGCCCUUUACUCUUAAAUACUUCAACAUGUAUUUCCUAGUAGGCACAUUCUCUUACAUAACCACAGCAGUUAAUAACGUCAGUAAGUUUAACAUUGAAACAAUACUUUAUUAGCUGUAUUCCAAAUUCUGUGAAUUAAUCCAAUAGCAUCCUUUGUGGCAUAUCCCUCCUCCAGAACAGGAGCCCAGUAAUGGGCAAGUAGGGACAAGUAUUGCAUUCAGUUGUCAUGUCUUGUUAGCCUUUCUUUUGUUUUUUAUGACAUUAACGUUUUAAAGUACAAAUUCCCUAAAUCUGCUUUUUAUUAAUAAAAUAUUGCUCAUUUGGGGUUUGUUUGAUAUUUAAUGAGUGGAUUAGGUUAUGCAUUCUCAACCAGAAUACUACACAGGUGAUGUGCCCUAUCUAGAGGUACUUGACAGCUAUCUGUCCUUCACUGGUGAUGUUAGUAUGUAUAAUAAAGUACAAGGUUAAAAAAAAAAAAUCAAGUUGCAACAUUGGUAUGUAAGCAUUUAGUAAACUACAUACUAUCACGUAUGAAAAAUCAUGGUGGAAAUUUAUAGGUAAAACAUAACCAAUAUGCAAUUUUCUACUUUCCUCUACAUAUGAGACAAAGGGGAAGGGGACUUUAAAAUGUAAUAUAUAUUGAAGCAGUUACCAGAAAAAAUUGUAAACACUUAAAAGCUGAACAAACUUUUCACUGAAAAACCACUUUACUAAAGCAUUCUUCCAUAAAACGUCAGAAGAAACUACAAUUAGAAAUAGUACUUAGGGAGCUUUUUCAUUUUUUAUCUUCUUCUUCCUAUCUUCAUACCUUCAGGUACCCAAGUCAGCAUAAAGUGAAAUUCAGUAAGGAUAAAUUUAAGAUAUGUUUAAAGAGGAAAAAUAUAAGACUAAGUAUCAGAAGAUUUACUAUGUCAAAGUUAUCGCAAACCUAAUGGGCCUAUCAGAGAGCCUGUUCCAAGGUAAGUGAACCACAAACAUUUACUAAGUGUAUACAUGAAUGUUAACUAUUAUAUGGUAAAUUAUUUCCUAAAUAUUCUUCUGCCCUGUAUCCUUAGUUCAUUAUUACAUUAUUUUCCAGAAAACCUUUUGAAGGUAAUCCCUUUGUGGAUUCUGUUAAUAUGGGCUUACUCCAAUUCCCACUUCUAAAAUAACCAACUCCAAAAUUUGACAUUCUCAAAUGAUUAACACAAUUCUUAUGAUAGCUGAUACCACACACUCUAUGGGCAUUUCUUAUGUAAAUAAAUAUGUGGAGAAAAAAGAUGUUGAAGAUGUUGAACAUCCCCUUAAUACUUCACUGGCAUUUAAUCACUAAUUCUCUCUAUGAGAAUUCAACAAUUAGAAUUCCAUUAUGAUCACUCACUAAAAGCAUACAAGUGCUAGGUACCACGAACCGCAUGAUGAGCAAAACAGACAUGGUCCUUAUCUUCACAGAGAGUUUACAGUUUCUCCUGCAGUAACCAAAUACCUUUCCCACAAUCAUCUCAAGGGUAGAGUAUAUUAAAAAUCGGUUCUGUCAUGAAAUAGUUAUGAUUCUCCCAGUACUCCCGCUUCAAGAGUCAAAAUAGUCUCCUCUUAGUUCAUCAGGAAGUAUUUCUGCCGAUCCUGUUGCUGAUAUGUGGUACUAUGGAUCAAAAUAAGAAUCCUCAUUCAUUUUUAGGCACCGAAAUAUUAAAUUGUGAUCUUAAGAGUUCAAUGGCAAGAAAUUCUUACCCCUUUUGGGGCCAUGGAUCCCUUUGUUGUCUGGUGUUUACUCCUCAACACCUUCCUGAGACUAACAUUAAUAGAAGCCCCUCAAUAAAAACUUUUUUGUUCAAUGCAUCAAUAGUACAUACUGGCUUGAUAAGUAACAUCUUAAAGAACACUUCAAAGAAAGUAAAGACAGAAAGCUUCUGAAGUAACAAAAGUAAAUCUGGAAAUUUUAAACAUUGGGAACACUAUAUCUACAAAAAUCAAAAACUGUUUCUUGUUGAAUGGAUUUUGGCACAAACAGCAUAUGUAACAAUAAUGGGAGGAAUAAACUAUUUUUGGUUUGGAAGCCUGCAUUAUAUAUUUUGAGUGAAACUGUAGUUUUAACAGAUUAAUGUCCAAAAAAUCUGCAUUUAAAAAGAUACGCAUUUUGUCAUCUAUAGUGUCAUUCUGCUUGCUGCUUUCUUCAAAUUUUAUUUUUAUAACCUCCAAGAAGCCUUCUGAUUUUUAACUAAAUAAGAUGGGGCAAUCAAGGAAAAAAAUUUAAAUAAGCAUGCUAUUAAAAAACUGAUUAACAUAAAAGGCAAUCAAUCUGGCACAAUCACUAGAAAGCAAUCACAUAACUCAUUAUGUACAGCCAAAAAAUAUCCGAUACGAGUGCGUUUUCAUAUACUUUAGAGCAUCUUAUUUAGUCCACAAAAUAAAAAAUUUGACAGCAAUAGGAAAAGGUGAUUUCGUAAAUAUUCGGCCAAAGCACAGCAGCGCCACACUGUGGCAUUAUGGUGGAUAUACAGUGGGCAAAUAUUGUGUUAAGUAUUAAGUGCAGUUUACCUAGGAAACUGGAAUAAAGAAAAAUCGGUAGGAAGAACAGUGAAUUUGUCCCUUAAACUAUUUGAAGACAGCACAAUUACUGCACAUACGUUGGCAAGUUCUAAUAAUACCAUUACAUACACAGAGAAUCAUCAGUCAAAUUUAGAAAAACCUGAUCUUCCAUCUUAUAGCUUGAUCAUUAGGGAGAGCAGUGUUAGAUAUUGUAUUCUGGAAUGAUUAACUAAUCAAGACCACCCAGCAACUAAUGUUUUAUUUUAAACACAGUAGUAACAUACAACAAAAUCAUUUAGAUCCAAUGCCUUGAGCAACUAUUUCAGGCCUACGGAAAAAAAUCCAGAACCUCAGGGCCUACGACAUUAAUCCCUCUCCAAAACAAGGUCACCAAUAUGUAUACACAAAUAUAUACAUAUAACUACCUCAGCCUUUAGGAAAAUGGGCUGGUCAUUUUUGAGGGAAGUGGAAGGGAGUUAAGCAAUGCCCAUCUACGUGCUUGCUUCAAAGUACCAAAAUUUAGCCUUAGAUAAUAAAUCAUAUUAGAAAUUGUAAUAGUUUCACUUUCUAAGUACUAAACUGUAUAUAAUAGAAUUAUAUAUAAUUUUGCUUCUAUGAGAAGUGACAGUCUUCUAAGAUAUGAGUUAGUAUGUACACCGUAAUGCUUAUCAGCUCAUUUGUCCAGGAACUUAUCCAGACAAAAACCUAGAAUAACACAAAAAUAUCUGAGCUGCCAAUAUAGGUUUCACAAACUACAUGCACAAAGCUUCUUGCAUGUUACUAUCAAAGGAUGUAUUUAAGCCCUCAAUUUGUGGAGUACAGCAGAAAAAGCACUAGAUUGAAAUAACGUCAACCUAGGUUUGAAACUCACCAUUUAGGCAGUCCUAAACUUCAGUUGCUCUUACAUUGUUUACCAACACAUAUAGGUAUUAACACACAGAGGCAAGAAACAGGCUGAUAGAGCUAGAACUACUGGGCUGCGAAUGUUAUCCUUUCAGGAAGAACUCCAGAGAAUGAAGAAGAGGACCAAGAGGACAGAGCAUGAAGCCUUUUAUUUUCAGGCUUUGAAACCUAAUGAAUUUACUCUGCUGGGUUUGGAACAUGUUUGAGAACAAUGACCCCUUUUUACUUCGAACUUCUUUUUGGAAUGGGAAUGUCUAUCCUAUGCCUCUCCUACCACUGAUUUUUAGAAGACUUGUUUUCUGCUUUCACAAGUCCACAGAUGAGAGGAAUUUUGCCCCAAGAAGGAUCAUACUCCAGUUUCACACAUAGCUGAUUUAGAUGAUUGAGAUGAGAUCUGCCACUUUUUGGGUUGAUGAUAUUAACACUUACAUGAGAUUUAGAGUUAAUGCUGGAAUGGGCUGAGAAUUGCUAAUGCUGGGAUGGGGUGAAUUUACUUUGUAUGUUAGAUGGAUAUAAAUUUUGCAGGGGGCCAGAGAAUGGACUCUACUGGGUUGAAGGGUGUCUCCUGAAAUUCAUGUCCACCCAGAACCUUAGAAUGUGACCUUAUUUGGAAAUAGAGUCUUUAUAGAUGUAAUCAAGUUAAGAUCAGGUCAUACCUAAUUAAAGUGAGCCCUGAAUCCAAUGCCUGGUUUCCUUACAAGGAGAGACAGACACACAGAGAGGAGACAGAAAAGGUCAUUUGAAGGUGAAGGCAAAAAUUGGAGUGAUGCAACUGCAAGCCAAGGACUGCUAGGAAUGAGCAGAAACUAGGAAGAAGCAAGGAAGGAUUCUUUCUUAGAACCUUCAGAGAGACCAUGGCCCUGCUGACACCUUAACUUCCAGCCUUCCAGAACUUACAGAAGAGCUUUCGGUCACUUUAAGACACCAUGUUUGAGGUACUUUGUUAAGCAGCCUGAAGAAACUAAUAUACACAUGGAUACAAUUUAAAUUAUACAUAAGCACACACAUUCGCGUACCCUUCGGAGUUUUAAUUCUAUGUCCCUGCAGUCAAAUGUUCAAAUGCUGGUCCAUCACUUCUUAGCUAGAGAUUGAGGAUCCCUAAUCUGAAAACCUGAAAUCCAAAAUGCUAUAAAACUCAAAGCUUUUUGAGCAUCAAAAUUAUACUCAAAGGAAAAACUCAGUGGAGCACUGUGGAUUUCCCACUAGGGAUACUCAACCUGUGGGUUAUUUAUUUAACAUUUACUUAACAUCUCUAUGGCUGUUUCUCAAACUGUAAAAUUGGGACAAAGAAUUGGGCAGAUUAAGAAUAAACAUGUAAAAUGCCUGGAACUAUCAAGUACUUAAUAAAUAUUAGCUCUGAGGUUGUUGUCAAAGUCA
RNAcentral lists this long non-coding RNA (4898 nucleotides) under Homo sapiens (human). RNAcentral describes it as "HSALNT0364725". Lineage: Eukaryota; Metazoa; Chordata; Mammalia; Primates; Hominidae. The record is from RNAcentral.